CCUACGUGGGGCAGCAGUGGGGAAUAUUGGACAAUGGGCGAAAGCCUGAUCCAGCCAUGCCGCGUGUGUGAAGAAGGCCUUCGGGUUGUAAAGCACUUUCAGUGGGGAAGAAAGCCUUGGGGCUAAUACCCUCGAGGAAGGACAUCACCCACAGAAGAAGCACCGGCUAACUCCGUGCCAGCAGCCGCGGUAAUACGGAGGGUGCGAGCGUUAAUCGGAAUUACUGGGCGUAAAGCGCGCGUAGGCGGUCUGAUAAGCCGGUUGUGAAAGCCCCGGGCUCAACCUGGGAACGGCAUCCGGAACUGUCAGGCUAGAGUGCAGGAGAGGAAGGUAGAAUUCCCGGUGUAGCGGUGAAAUGCGUAGAGAUCGGGAGGAAUACCAGUGGCGAAGGCGGCCUUCUGGACUGACACUGACGCUGAGGUGCGAAAGCGUGGGUAGCAAACAGGAUUAGAUACCCCAGUAGUC
This 465-nucleotide ribosomal RNA is filed under the name Vreelandella stevensii. RNAcentral describes it as "partial 16S ribosomal RNA". It matches the Rfam family "Bacterial small subunit ribosomal RNA", at positions 338 to 795 of the family's 1533-position model. The record is from RNAcentral. Lineage: Bacteria; Pseudomonadati; Pseudomonadota; Gammaproteobacteria; Oceanospirillales; Halomonadaceae.